RNAcentral lists this ribosomal RNA (301 nucleotides) under uncultured bacterium. Its description in RNAcentral is "partial 16S ribosomal RNA". It matches the Rfam family "Bacterial small subunit ribosomal RNA", at positions 509 to 809 of the family's 1533-position model. The record is from RNAcentral.
CAGUCGCCGCGGUAAUACGUAGGGUGCGAGCGUUAAUCGGAAUUACUGGGCGUAAAGCGUGCGCAGGCGGUUGUGUAAGACAGGUGUGAAAUCCCCGGGCUUAACCUGGGAACUGCAUUUGUGACUGGCGGGCUAGAGUAUGGCAGAGGGGGGUAGAAUUCCACGUGUAGCAGUGAAAUGCGUAGAGAUGUGGAGGAAUACCGAUGGCGAAGGCAGCCCCCUGGGCCAAUACUGACGCUCAUGCACGAAAGCGUGGGGAGCAAACAGGAUUAGAUACCCCCGUAGUCCCUGUCUCUUAUAA